AACGAACGCUGGCGGCAUGCCUAACACAUGCAAGUCGAACGAGACCUUCGGGUCUAGUGGCGCACGGGUGCGUAACGCGUGGGAACCUGCCCUUAGGUUCGGAAUAACUCCCCGAAAGGGGUGCUAAUACCGGAUAAUGUCUUCGGACCAAAGAUUUAUCGCCUUUGGAUGGGCCUGCGUUGGAUUAGCUAGUUGGUAGGGUAAAAGCCUACCAAGGCGACGAUCCAUAGCUGGUCUGAGAGGAUGAUCAGCCACACUGGGACUGAGACACGGCCCAGACUCCUACGGGAGGCAGCAGUGGGGAAUAUUGGACAAUGGGCGAAAGCCUGAUCCAGCAAUGGCGCGUGAGUGAUGAAGGGCUUAGGGUUGUAAAGCUCUUUUACCCGGGAUGAUAAUGACAGUACCGGGAGAAUAAGCUCCGGCUAACUCCGUG
RNAcentral lists this ribosomal RNA (433 nucleotides) under uncultured bacterium. RNAcentral describes it as "partial 16S ribosomal RNA". It matches the Rfam family "Bacterial small subunit ribosomal RNA", at positions 29 to 507 of the family's 1533-position model. The record is from RNAcentral.